AACGAACGCUGGCGGCAUGCCUAACACAUGCAAGUCGAACGAGACCUUCGGGUCUAGUGGCGCACGGGUGCGUAACGCGUGGGAACCUGCCCUUAGGUUCGGAAUAACUCCCCGAAAGGGGUGCUAAUACCGGAUAAUGUCUUCGGACCAAAGAUUUAUCGCCUUUGGAUGGGCCCGCGUUGGAUUAGCUAGUUGGUAGGGUAAAAGCCUACCAAGGCGACGAUCCAUGGCUGGUCUGAGAGGAUGAUCAGCCACACUGGGACUGAGACACGGCCCAGACUCCUACGGGAGGCAGCAGUGGGGAAUAUUGGACAAUGGGCGAAAGCCUGAUACAGCAAUGCCGCGUGAGUGAUGAAGGCCUUAGGGUUGUAAAGCUCUUUUACCCGAGAUGAUAAUGACAGUACCGGGAGAAUAAGCACCGGCUAACUCCGUG
Molecule: ribosomal RNA, 433 nt
Filed under: uncultured bacterium
Lineage: Bacteria
Description: partial 16S ribosomal RNA
Rfam family: Bacterial small subunit ribosomal RNA
Source: RNAcentral